Molecule: ribosomal RNA, 778 nt
Filed under: uncultured bacterium
Lineage: Bacteria
Description: bacterial SSU rRNA
Rfam family: Bacterial small subunit ribosomal RNA
Source: RNAcentral
CAGGGGGAUAAUCCGGAGAAAUCUGGUCUAAUACCCCAUAUAUAUGAACCGGCAUCGGUUUAUGUUGAAAUUUUCGGAGGUUAUGGAUGGGCAUGCGUGACAUUAGCUAGAUGGUGAGGUAACGGCUCACCAUGGCAACGAUGUCUAGGGGGACUGAGAGGUUAACCCCCCCACACUGGUACUGAGACACGGACCAGACUCCUACGGGAGGCAGCAGUGAGGAAUAUUGGUCAAUGGACGGAAGUCUGAACCAGCCAUGCCGCGUGCAGGAUGACGGCUCUACGAGUUGUAAACUGCUUUUGUAUGAGGGUAAAGUGAGGUACGUGUACCUUUUUGAAAGUAUCAUACGAAUAAGGAUCGGCUAACUCCGUGCCAGCAGCCGCGGUAAUACGGAGGAUCCAAGCGUUAUCCGGAUUUAUUGGGUUUAAAGGGUGCGCAGGCGGCUCGGUAAGUUAGAGGUGAAAUUUCGGUGCUUAACAUCGAAACUGCCUCUGAUACUGCCAGGCUAGAGACCAGUUGCAGAAGGCGGAAUGUGUAGUGUAGCGGUGAAAUGCUUAGAUAUUACACAGAACACCGAUUGCGAAGGCAGCUUUCUAAGCUGGAUCUGACGCUGAGGCACGAAAGCGUGGGGAGCGAACAGGAUUAGAUACCCUGGUAGUCCACGCUGUAAACGAUGAUAACUCGUUGUCGGCGAUACAUAGUCGGUGACUAAGCGAAAGCGAUAAGUUAUCCACCUGGGGAGUACGUUCGCAAGAAUGAAACUCAAAGGAAUCGACGG